CAGAUUUUAAUGCAUUCUCUUUACGUUUAUGUUUGUAUAUAAUUAGCAUUUAGUGACGUAUUAAAUCCAUUUUUUAAAAGGAGAGAUAAAUUUGUCUGUUUAAUUACGUCCCAUCUUAUUUUCUGCACUGAAGACUAUGUUACACGAAACGUGAAUGUUAGUGUGAAUGUUAGAAAUCAUUUACAUAUCAUAUCGUACCUAAAUAUAGUGAUGAUGUGUAACAGAUUAUGACAAAAUUUUUACAGAGAGUUUUGGAUAGUUGAAACGACCCUUUUGAAUAGCUGAAACGACCCUUUUGAAUAGCUGAAACCACCCUUUUGAACAGCUGAAAACACCCUUUUGAAUAGCUGAAACGACCCUUUUGAAUACUGAAACGACUCUUUUGAAUAGCUGAAACGACCCUUUUGAAUAGCUGAAACUACCCUUUAGAAUAGCCGAAACCACCCUUUUGAAUAGCUGAAACGAACCUUUUGAAUAGCUGAAACGACCCUUUCGAAUAGCUGAAACGACCCUUUCGAAUAGCUGACACGACCCUUUCGAAGGGUAACUCUCCUACCCUUUGAGGAGUUAAAACUACCCUCUGAAAAGGGUAGAA
Molecule: non-coding RNA, 595 nt
Organism: Paramuricea clavata
Lineage: Eukaryota; Metazoa; Cnidaria; Anthozoa; Malacalcyonacea; Plexauridae
Source: the annotation of a GenBank genome assembly